Non-coding RNA from Orycteropus afer afer, 270 nucleotides. The record is from the annotation of a RefSeq genome assembly. Lineage: Eukaryota; Metazoa; Chordata; Mammalia; Tubulidentata; Orycteropodidae.
GUGAAGAGACCUGGGGAGUCUCUGAAGAUCUCCUGCAAGGCAUCUGGAUACAGCUUUACUAGCUACUGGAUCAGCUGGGUGCGGCAGAUGCCAGGAAAAGGAUUGGAGUGGGUAGGAGCUAUAGAUCCUAGUGAUUCUGAUACCAGGUACAGCCCGUCCUUCCAAGGCCACGUCACCAUCUCCACAGACAACUCCAUCAGCACCGCCUUCCUGCAGUGGAGCAGCCUGAAGGCCAUGGACACAGCCGUGUAUUACUGUGCGAGGGGCACA